Molecule: ribosomal RNA, 484 nt
Filed under: uncultured bacterium
Lineage: Bacteria
Description: partial 16S ribosomal RNA
Rfam family: Bacterial small subunit ribosomal RNA
Source: RNAcentral
AUUGAACGCUGGCGGCAGGCCUAACACAUGCAAGUCGAGCGGAUGAAGGGAGCUUGCUCCUGGAUUCAGCGGCGGACGGGUGAGUAAUGCCUAGGAAUCUGCCUGGUAGUGGGGGAUAACGUCCGGAAACGGGCGCUAAUACCGCAUACGUCCUGAGGGAGAAAGUGGGGGAUCUUCGGACCUCACGCUAUCAGAUGAGCCUAGGUCGGAUUAGCUAGUUGGUGGGGUAAAGGCCUACCAAGGCGACGAUCCGUAACUGGUCUGAGAGGAUGAUCAGUCACACUGGAACUGAGACACGGUCCAGACUCCUACGGGAGGCAGCAGUGGGAAAUAUUGGACAAUGGGCGAAAGCCUGAUCCAGCCAUGCCGCGUGUGUGAAGAAGGUCUUCGGAUUGUAAAGCACUUUAAGUUGGGAGGAAGGUCAGUAAGUUAAUACCUUGCUGUUUUGACGUUACCAACAGAAUAAGCACCGGCUAACUUCGUG